UCGCAUGGGCUAAUACCCUGUGCGGAUGACGGUACCGGCAUAAGAAGCACCGGCUAACUACGUGCCAGCAGCCGCGGUAAUACGUAGGGUGCGAGCGUUAAUCGGAAUUACUGGGCGUAAAGCGUGCGCAGGCGGUUUGUUAAGAUAGGCGUGAAAUCCCCGGGCUCAACCUGGGAACUGCGCUUAUGACUGGCAAGCUAGAGUACGGCAGAGGGGGGUGGAAUUCCACGUGUAGCAGUGAAAUGCGUAGAGAUGUGGAGGAACACCAAUGGCGAAGGCAGCCCCCUGGGUCGAUACUGACGCUCAUGCACGAAAGCGUGGGUAGCAAACAGGAUUAGAUACCCUGGUAGUCCACGCCCUAAACGAUGUCAACUAGGUGUUGGAAGGGUAAAACCUUUUAGUACCGGAGCUAACGCGUGAAGUUGACCGCCUGGGGAGUACGGCCGCAAGGUUAAAACUCAAAGGAAUUGACGGGGACCCGCACAAGCGGUGGAUGAUGUGGAUUAAUUCGAUGCAACGCGAAAAACCUUACCUACCCUUGACAUGUCCAGAAGCCUGAAGAGAUUUAGGUGUGCCCGAAAGGGAACUGGAACACAGGUGCUGCAUGGCUGUCGUCAGCUCGUGUCGUGAGAUGUUGGGUUAAGUCCCGCAACGAGCGCAACCCUUGUCGUUAAUUGCCAUCAUUUGGUUGGGCACUUUAACGAGACUGCCGGUGACAAACCGGAGGAAGGUGGGGAUGACGUCAAGUCCUCAUGGCCCUUAUGGGUAGGGCUUCACACGUCAUACAAUGGUCGGUACAAAGGGUUGCCAAGCCGCGAGGUGGAGCUAAUCCCAGAAAGCCGAUCGUAGUCCGGAUUGCAGGCUGCAACUCGCCUGCAUGAAGUCGGAAUCGCUAGUAAUCGUGGAUCAGCAUGUCACGGUGAAUACGUUCCCGGGUCUUGUACACACCGCCCGUCACACCAUGGGAGCGGGUUCCGCCAGAAGUAGGUAGCCUAACCGCAAGGGGGGCGCUUACCACGGCGGGGUUCGUGACUGGGGUGAAGUC
This 1045-nucleotide ribosomal RNA is filed under the name uncultured bacterium. RNAcentral describes it as "bacterial SSU rRNA". It matches the Rfam family "Bacterial small subunit ribosomal RNA", at positions 452 to 1487 of the family's 1533-position model. The record is from RNAcentral.